RNAcentral lists this ribosomal RNA (253 nucleotides) under uncultured bacterium. Its description in RNAcentral is "partial 16S ribosomal RNA". It matches the Rfam family "Bacterial small subunit ribosomal RNA", at positions 524 to 776 of the family's 1533-position model. The record is from RNAcentral.
UACAGAGGGUGCGAGCGUUGUCCGGAAUCACUGGGCGUAAAGGGCGCGUAGGUGGCGCUGCAAAUCGGUGGUGAAAGCUCGUCGCUUAACGACGAGUCGGCCAUCGAAACUGCAGGGCUGGAGCACUGUAGGGGCAGAUGGAAUUCCGGGUGUAGCGGUGGAAUGCGUAGAGAUCCGGAAGAACACCAGUGGCGAAGGCGGUCUGCUGGGCAGUUGCUGACACUGAUGCGCGACAGCGUGGGGAGCAAACAGG